GUUGUUCGGAAUUACUGGGCGUAAAGCGCGCGUAGGCGGAUUAGUCAGUUAGAGGUGAAAUCCCAGGGCUCAACCCUGGAACUGCCUUUAAUACUGCUAGUCUUGAGUUCGAGAGAGGUGAGUGGAAUUCCGAGUGUAGAGGUGAAAUUCGUAGAUAUUCGGAGGAACACCAGUGGCGAAGGCGGCUCACUGGCUCGAUACUGACGCUGAGGUGCGAAAGUGUGGGGAGCAAACAGGAUUAGAUACCCUGGUAGUCCACACCGUAAACGCUGUCUACUAGCUGUUUGUGGAUUUAAUCCGUGAGUAGCGAAGCUAACGCGAUAAGUAGACCGCCUGGGGAGUACGGCCGCAAGGUUAAAACUCAAAUGAAUUGACGGGGGCCCGCACAAGCGGUGGGGCAUGUGGUUUAAUUCGAUGCAACGCGAAGAACCUUACCUACUCUUGACAUACUAGAAACUUUUCAGAGAUGAAUUGGUGCCUUCGGGAAUCUAGAUACAGGUGCUGCAUGGCU
Molecule: ribosomal RNA, 511 nt
Filed under: uncultured Pseudomonadota bacterium
Lineage: Bacteria; Pseudomonadati; Pseudomonadota
Description: bacterial SSU rRNA
Rfam family: Bacterial small subunit ribosomal RNA
Source: RNAcentral